UAUAUAUUUCCUGCUUAGUUGCUGUUGUUAUGAAGCUUAGAUCAGACUUGUGUUUGGUAUUAUGACGGUUAAAUGUGGUUUACAUUAAACUAGUUGCUUCUUUUGAACUUGAUAUAGACAGUUGUUGGAUGAUGGACAACAUGCCACUUCAGAUGCCUUUCAUUUCUUUCUGUUUCUUUACAGUGUAAUCAUCACAUUAUACCUCGCUUCUGGAUAAUAUGGACACUUUGGAUGUUC
This is a non-coding RNA of Pelobates cultripes (western spadefoot toad), 237 nucleotides long. The record is from the annotation of a GenBank genome assembly. Lineage: Eukaryota; Metazoa; Chordata; Amphibia; Anura; Pelobatidae.